This 1059-nucleotide long non-coding RNA is filed under the name Coturnix japonica (Japanese quail). RNAcentral describes it as "lncRNA (ENSCJPG00005003065.1)". Lineage: Eukaryota; Metazoa; Chordata; Aves; Galliformes; Phasianidae. The record is from RNAcentral.
AUUUAUUACACAUGGCAGCUUCAGAUUUUUUAGGCAUGCAUAAUAUUAUAUUUCUUCUUCUUCCUCCAAACAGAUAAAACUUUUGGUUGAUUUAAUACACAAUUUCUGUGAUGCUGUAUUCUAGAGGAUGGCUGAAAGAUAAUUAUUAACCAUUUGCUUCUCUUUGAAAGAGAUUAAUAAUUGAUUCUUACUAAGAAUUCAGUUUCUCCUUUAAUGACAGUUUUUUGUGGAUUUGUUUUUUCAGACAUAGUUUAUCGCUUAUCAAGAGAUUAAGAGCAAAACACAUACUACAAAAUGCAAGAUUCUUGUAUUUCAAACCAGCUGAUAUUCAGGAUGGUCCAGAAGAGAAUGAGAAGAAGGGAGACCAGCUUGGGAGAUAUGGUCAUUGGAACAGCAGAAGAGUGCACUUGAGUUUAGGAAUACCUACAACAGAUUUUUAGAAUUCCUCAGCCUAUGAAAAUGCAUGCACCUUUUUUUGAAAGGGAAAAAUUUUCAGCACAUAUAAGGAGUAUGGACAGUCCAAUAGUUCCUGUAUUUUCAAUGUGAAGCCAGGUGAGUAUAACCUGGCUUCUGUCCCUUAAUUCUGCAAAUGGUUUUACGGAAGAGGUUUCAACGUAUUUAUUCAGUGUUAUCAACACAUCACAGAUUUAAUAAUCAGUAUUCCCUACUGUAUUCCCUUCUGGCUUAAAUUAGGAAGUAAGAAGGCAUUCAGAAAGGCUCUCCUUGCUUUCCUCAGAUCUUUCAGCAACGUGCUGUUUGCCUGUAGUUGCAGUCUGACACCUCUGGAUUAGGUGAGAAUUUGGCACAUUCCUUAAGAAAACUCACCUAAGAAAGCUGUUGCUCAGGAAAACACCACCUCCUUGGCCUCUUGGUGUAGUGCAGAUCCUGUCUGUAAAGGGAGCAGCAAUUUUUUCUCCCAUUUCCUCGCCUGCUGAUUGUGAGAUCCAGGAGACAAACUCUCUGCCUCCUGUGACAGCCCUUCUUAAUCAACUGUGUUUUCUGUGAAGGUCUCUAGGGAGCUUAAUGUGUUCCACAGCCUAUAUCAGGUCCCCUGUUUCC